UAAGCAUAUCAAUAAGCGGAGGAAAAGAAACCAACAGGGAUUGCCUCAGUAACGGCGAGUGAAGCGGCAACAGCUCAAAUUUGAAAUCUGGCCCUAGGCCCGAGUUGUAAUUUGCAGAGGAUGCUUCUGGCGCGGUGCCUUCCAAGUCCCCUGGAACGGGGCGCCAUAGAGGGUGAGAGCCCCGUCUGGUUGGCCGCCAAGCCUGUGUGAAGCUCCUUCGACGAGUCGAGUAGUUUGGGAAUGCUGCUCUAAAUGGGAGGUAGACCCCUUCUAAAGCUAAAUACCGGCCAGAGACCGAUAGCGCACAAGUAGAGUGAUCGAAAGAUGAAAAGCACUUUGAAAAGAGGGUUAAACAGUACGUGAAAUUGUUGAAAGGGAAGCGCUUGUGACCAGACGUGCGUCGGGGUGUUCAGCGGGCGUUCUCGCCCGUGCACUCGCCCCGGCGCAGGCCAGCGUCGGUUCGGGCGGGGGGACAAAGGCGUUGGGAACGUAGCUCCUCCGGGAGUGUUAUAUCCCAGCGUGUCAUGCCCCCGCCUGGACCGAGGUUCGCGCUCCGCAAGGACGCUGGCGUAAUGGUCCCCAGCGGCCCGUCUUGAAACACGGACCAAGGAGUCGAGGUUUUGCGCGAGUGUUUGGGUGUCAAACCCGCACGCGUAAUGAAAGUGAACGCAGGUGGGAGCUUCGGCGCACCACCGACCGAUCCUGAUGUUCUCGGAUGGAUUUGAGUAAGAGCGUAGGGCCUCGGACCCGAAAGAUGGUGAACUAUACGUGAAUAGGGUGAAGCCAGAGGAAACUCUGGUGGAGGCUCGCAGCGGUUCUGACGUGCAAAUCGAUCGUCAAAUUUGCGUAUGGGGGCGAAAGACUAAUCGAACC
RNAcentral lists this ribosomal RNA (873 nucleotides) under Thozetella nivea. RNAcentral's name for it is "eukaryotic LSU rRNA". It matches the Rfam family "Eukaryotic large subunit ribosomal RNA", at positions 35 to 941 of the family's 3401-position model. The record is from RNAcentral. Lineage: Eukaryota; Fungi; Ascomycota; Sordariomycetes; Chaetosphaeriales; Chaetosphaeriaceae.